Molecule: long non-coding RNA, 1153 nt
Organism: Ictalurus punctatus (channel catfish)
Lineage: Eukaryota; Metazoa; Chordata; Actinopteri; Siluriformes; Ictaluridae
Exons: 7
Source: RefSeq, a predicted model, not a curated record
UUUUUUUCAGACUGACUGAUCAGAGCACAACUUGCAUUUUUCGCUGCACCUUGGUCCCUUGCGUUUUGGCUUUUUCUACAGAGAGCAGUUCAUUGUUACUAUACCUUUUAUUGUUCUUUUCUUGAAAAAAAAAAAAACUAAAAAAAUUGUUUAUUGCAUUUUACAAGUUAUAUUUACACAGUGUCUCUUUCAUUGUUGCUUGACUUUUUUAUUUAUUUAUUUAUUUUUUAUUUAUUUAUUUAUUUAUUUAUUUAUAUAUAUAUUUUUUUUCCCCUUCCUUCCUGAGACUACUUUGCAGGUUUUGUUCUUUCAGGCUCAACAGCUGUUACGUCGGGACAGAACUUUCAAAGAUGCCAUGGAAAGGAAAGAGAUCUCAGGCUCAAAAAAUGCAUUGGAGAAAGGUGGACCUGGAAGAUGGACAGGUGUUAUGUCAUUGAGCUACCAGGAAAGUAGAGCCUCAGCAGCAGGAAGGACAAAGUAAGGAGUAGUGUGGCAGCUCUAGGGAGGACCCAGACAGUGAGAGCAAGGGUGGCGGUAAGACAGCAAGUUGCAGGAAGAAUUUGGAGACCAUAGCAGUCCUGUCCAAGACCGGAUAUGAGUCUGCAAUAUACCAUCUAAAGCUAAGUUUUUAAUGAUUUUGCUUCAGUCACUGUACUACUGCACAUUAUAACCACAUUUGCAGGAAAAUGUUCAAUCUUGAUCUGAUUUUGAUAUUUACCAGCAACCAGCCAAUUGAAGUCAGAAUUUCUUAGAUCAAGUGUGCUACAAUGCUGAUGGAUGACAAGAGGACGGGACCAAAUGUUUACGGCAUUGACGACAAUACUGGAGAAGCAGAGGAAGAAGCACACUAAAGCACUGAGGAUAUCCAGCCUGUAGGCCGUGCCAGAUCCAGCGGCUAGAUGGCAGAUGCUUCAUUAGACUACUGAAUAUAUCUAAUCAUUGGAUUAUCAAUUAAUUCAUCUUAAUAUAUAUAAAUUAUUUUAUAAUCAUUAAAUAAUUGGUCUCAAUUUCUAGAUAUAUUAAUAUUUCAUAUAUUGGCUUAAAUAAGAAUUUUACUGUAAGGUGUGCCAUGCCAGAGGAGGAUGGGCUCCCCCUGUUGAGUCUGGUUCCUCUCAAGGUUUUUUACCUCCUAACUCUUUGGAGUUUUUUCCUA